This 484-nucleotide ribosomal RNA is filed under the name uncultured bacterium. RNAcentral's name for it is "partial 16S ribosomal RNA". It matches the Rfam family "Bacterial small subunit ribosomal RNA", at positions 28 to 523 of the family's 1533-position model. The record is from RNAcentral.
GACGAACGCUGGCGGCGUGCUUAACGCAUGCAAGUCGAACGAUGAAGCCGGAGCUUGCUCUGGUGAAUUAGUGGCGAACGGGUGAGUAACACGUGAGUAACCUGCCCUUGACUCUGGGAUAACUGCGGGAAACUGUAGCUAAUACCGGAUACGACCCUCGGAGGCAUCUCCCGGGGGUGGAAAGAAUUUCGGUCAAGGAUGGACUCGCGGCCUAGCAGCUAGUUGGUGAGGUAAAGGCUCACCAAGGCGGCGACGGGUAGCCGGCCUGAGAGGGUGACCGGCCACACUGGGACUGAGACACGGCCCAGACUCCUACGGGAGGCAGCAGUGGGGAAUAUUGCACAAUGGGCGCAAGCCUGAUGCAGCAACGCCGCGUGAGGGAUGACGGCCUUCGGGUUGUAAACCUCUUUUAGCAGGGAAGAAGCGAAAGUGACGGUACCUGCAGAAAAAGCACCGGCUAACUACGUGCCAGCCGCCGCAGUAA